CCACCGGUCAUCCUUUUUUAUUUCUAGUGAGACACAUUGAUUUUGUAUAUUCAUUUUUAUUUUAUACAUUGUGUUACGCCCCUAUCUGAACCACCUCGAAAUCUCCACCACCACGCACUCCAAUCUACUAGACACCUACCCGAAGUGAUUCUGAAGUGAUCUUCCCAAUGUCAACGAUCUGCUAUCACACUGCUAGACAUAGACGAUCCUGCCGAACUGACCGAAGUGCCCUCGCCCAUGAUGCCGAGGCAAAGUGCACUCUGGGGACCUCUGUCAGAAGAUACGUCGUCAAUUUCAGAAGGAGAUCUUUGCCGAGAUCAUUUCUGCCCCUAAGGUUUAAAUUGAUUUGACGUCUCCAUGAGGCUAGUUGAUGUGAUUUAUCAACUUUAUGUCAACUCAACUCGGGAGAAGCAGUUACCCGCCCACUCUACAGACGCGGCUGAUUGACGCCUAUGAGCAGACGCCUCAUACCGUCAGAUAUAUACACGUGCCCCACAUCCAACGAUUCAUCUCACCUAUAAAUACCCAAGGGUUGACAAGAGGUAAAGGUAAUGAAACUCUUAUUAGAUAGCACUCCAUAACAAGCAUAUAUAUAUUUUCUCUCCUCCCCUUUAUUAUUUUACACAACCCCUGGAUACUGUUCCGACCACCUGAACCUGACUUGACCGUUGGAGUGUAUACAGCAGCCACCACCCCCGCUGGUCCCGACCGUGUGCGUCUAACCAUGCGUUGAUUGUGCGCAGAGAGGAAUAAGUGGAGUAGUUCUCGGUUGGCCACGUGGAAGGUCCAAUUUUUGAGGUCAACAGAUUGCGCCGUCUGUAGGAAAUAUUUUCUGUUCAAAGUUCUGCAUUCUCCACCGGAGAGAUCACCGGAAAACUAGUGACUAACCCUGAAAAGGGCACGUUCUUGAAAAAGAACAAAAUCGAGUUAUAAUCCAAGUUCUCACCACCCUUGAAAAAGGAGAUAGAAUGAGUUAUAGCCAUGAAGACGAUAACCCCAUGAGAGAGGCAUCUGAAGAGGAGGUGUUCCAUAACAAUGUUAACCACCAGAGACCCCAUCACCGGCGUCGCCGAGGUGAAAGAACAGCCAUGCUCACUGAAGGAAUGACUCAAAUAGCUGUGGGCAUGAGAGACAUCGCAGCUCAGAAUAUGGCGAUGCAUGAACUUCUCAUCCAAGCUCGAGGUCACCAGGGCUCUCAAAUGCCCCAAGGAUCUUACCCAGUGCAGGAAGCCCUAGUAUCUCGUUCUCGAGACCACAACAGUCAGCACAGAGAACGUUCCCUCGAAAGAGAAGCGGAUGCCGAAGCCACAUCUUAUGUGCAAGGGAACCAGCCAUCAGAAUCACACUUGGGGGACAAUUACCCAAAAAAAAAAAGAGGAACAGAGGUCGAUAAGCGUCUUCGACCGGAUUGGGGAGGAUCCUAGCAAUAGGGUCUGCCCAGUGAGAACAUCAGUUCAGCCAGACCAGGAGCAAGAAUAGGCUCCUCCUCUUCCUAGAAAUAGGAGGGACAGGAGGAACCUAGUCGAUUGGGGGCGUCGAGGAGAAGCACCUCCAUCUCCUCAGAACAUUCAAGAUGAUGAAGGGUCAGAGGGGCCCUGUCGUUCUUAUGAGAUUGACGACGAUGAUGAUAACCUCCCUUUCUCAAGGGAAAUCCGAAGCUUUCCAAUGCUAGCAAAUUUCAUGCCCCCCUAAGAUCCCCAAGUAUGAAGGAAAUGGGGACCCGGAGAAGCACCUCACCAAGUAUAUGACACAAAUGAGUCUCAGGGGAGCCUCGCCUGCUUUGAAAUGCAGAGCCUUCCAUUUAACACUAGGCGGAGCCAUCGAAGUGUGGUACAACAGGCUUCCUCCCCUAAGCGUUAGAAGUUGGCCAGAUUUGAAGAAGACAUUCUUGAAUCAGUACCUCUCGCGAAGAGAAGAAGAGGCCCCAGUGCAACGCCUGCAAGACAUGAG
This 1950-nucleotide long non-coding RNA is filed under the name Olea europaea subsp. europaea. The record is from RNAcentral. Lineage: Eukaryota; Viridiplantae; Streptophyta; Magnoliopsida; Lamiales; Oleaceae.